Ochotona curzoniae (black-lipped pika) is the source of this 269-nucleotide long non-coding RNA. RefSeq lists it as uncharacterized. Lineage: Eukaryota; Metazoa; Chordata; Mammalia; Lagomorpha; Ochotonidae. The record is from RefSeq and is a predicted model, not a curated record. The transcript has 3 exons.
AAGGGGUUCAGGCUUUGCUGAGGCACUUUGGGACCCUUAUGACUACAUUCUGGCACAAAGGAAAAUGGAUGGAGGUGAUGUUUUUCUUCUGGCGUGACACCCUAUGAGUUGACCUUCCCUGCCUUUCUUCCUUUGGAUGAUGGCCUUGGAGGCCGCUGAAGAGACUCGAGAUGCAAAAAAGCCUAGAGCCCCGAGUUAGCCUGCAGGGGAGAGGAACAUGGCUGGAUCUGAGGUGUGGGGUCCGAAUACCUUGGGCCAUCCUCUACGAC